UACGUAGGGGGCGAGCGUUGUCCGGAAUCAUUGGGCGUAAAGCGCGUGUAGGCGGCUCGAUAAGUCCGCUCUGAAAGUCCAGGGCUCAACCCUGGGAUGCGGGUGGAUACUGUCGGGCUCGAGUCCGGAAGAGGCGAGUGGAAUUCCCGGUGUAGCGGUGAAAUGCGCAGAUAUCGGGAGGAACACCAAUGGCGAAGGCAGCUCGCUGGGACGUGACUGACGCUGAGACGCGAAAGCGUGGGGAGCAAACAGG
RNAcentral lists this ribosomal RNA (253 nucleotides) under uncultured bacterium. RNAcentral's name for it is "partial 16S ribosomal RNA". It matches the Rfam family "Bacterial small subunit ribosomal RNA", at positions 524 to 776 of the family's 1533-position model. The record is from RNAcentral.